This 403-nucleotide ribosomal RNA is filed under the name Verrucomicrobiota bacterium. RNAcentral describes it as "Verrucomicrobia bacterium partial 16S ribosomal RNA". It matches the Rfam family "Bacterial small subunit ribosomal RNA", at positions 355 to 776 of the family's 1533-position model. Lineage: Bacteria; Pseudomonadati; Verrucomicrobiota. The record is from RNAcentral.
UGGGGAAUAUUGCACAAUGGGGGAAACCCUGAUGCAGCGACGCCGCGUGAGCGAAGAAGGCUUUCGAGUCGUAACGCUCUGUCCUAUGAGAAGAUAAUGACGGUAUCAUAGGAGGAAGCCUUGGCUAAAUACGUGCCAGCAGCCGCGGUAAUACGUAUGGGGCGAGCGUUGUCCGGAAUUAUUGGGCGUAAAGCGCGCGCAGGCGGCUACUUAAGUCCAUCUUAAAAGUGCGGGGCUUAACCCCGUGAUGGGAUGGAAACUGAGAAGCUGGAGUGUCGGAGAGGAAAGUGGAAUUCCUAGUGUAGCGGUGAAAUGCGUAGAGAUUAGGAAGAACACCGGUGGCGAGGGCGACUUUCUGGACGACAACUGACGCUUAGGCGCGAAAGCGUGGGGAGCAAACAGG